CGCGGCCUAUCAGCUUGUUGGUGGGGUAACGGCCCACCAAGGCUACGACGGAUAGCUGGUCUGAGAGGACGAUCAGCCACACUGGGACUGAGACACGGCCCAGACUCCUACGGGAGGCAGCAGUGGGGAAUCUUGCCCAAUGGGCGAAAGCCUGAUGCAGCGACGCCGCGUGGGGGAUGAAGGCCUUCGGGUUGUAAACCCCUUUCGGCAGGGACGAAGCGAAAGUGACGGUACCUGCAGAAGAAGCCCCGGCUAACUACGUGCCAGCAGCCGCGGUAAGACGUAGGGGGCAAGCGUUGUCCGGAUUUAUUGGGCGUAAAGCACGCGCAGGCGGCUGGCCAAGUCGGAUGUGAAAACCAGGGGCUCAACCCUUGGCCUGCAUCCGAUACUGUCGGGCUCGAGGCAGGUAGGGGAGAUCGGAAUUCCCGGUGUAGCGGUGAAAUGCGCAGAUGUCGGGAGGAACACCGGUGGCGAAGGCGGAUCUCUGGGCCGAUACUGACGCUGAGGAGCGAAAGCGUGGGGAGCGAACAGGAUUAGAUACCCUGGUAGUCCACGCCGUAAACGGUGGGUGCUAGGUGUGGGGGACUUCCACGUUCUCCGUGCCGCAGCUAACGCAUUAAGCACCCCGCCUGGGGAGUACGG
RNAcentral lists this ribosomal RNA (642 nucleotides) under uncultured Actinomycetes bacterium. RNAcentral describes it as "bacterial SSU rRNA". It matches the Rfam family "Bacterial small subunit ribosomal RNA", at positions 232 to 885 of the family's 1533-position model. Lineage: Bacteria; Bacillati; Actinomycetota; Actinomycetes. The record is from RNAcentral.